GCCGUCCAAAGUGACCUCUGCAAAGUCCAGAAACAAGUCCUCAUGACAUCCUUCGCCACCAGCAUCUCACUGUGGUUCCCACUGAAGAGAAGGAAGAGGAGAAAUAAAAUGACAAGAGUGAGACAAAACCUACGAGAAUGAUUAUCAAAAGAACAUUCCUUCCCAAAGAGAGCAGUAUGCAAAGAAGAGGGAAAGGCAACAUUACCGUGGAGAAGUCUCACAAAUGCUUCCUCAGCCAGACAAUCAAGGUCAACAUCAACAGAGGUGGCCCAGUGUUUCGUUGGUUCGAAUCCUGGGCGCGGACAUGGCACUGCUCAUCAAGCCACGCUGAGGCAGCGUCCCACAUGCCACAACUAGAAGGACCCACAACGAAGAAUAUACAACUAUGUACCGGGGGAGCUUUGGG
RNAcentral lists this long non-coding RNA (406 nucleotides) under Equus caballus (horse). Its description in RNAcentral is "lncRNA (ENSECAG00000051196.1)". The record is from RNAcentral. Lineage: Eukaryota; Metazoa; Chordata; Mammalia; Perissodactyla; Equidae.